RNAcentral lists this non-coding RNA (817 nucleotides) under Exallonyx sp. ZJUH_2016014. Lineage: Eukaryota; Metazoa; Arthropoda; Insecta; Hymenoptera; Proctotrupidae. The record is from RNAcentral.
UAAAAAUUUAAUUUUAGUUUAAAAAUUAAUUAUUUUAUUUAAUGUGUAUAUAUAAAUAUGAAUAUAAUUUAUUUAAUCUAAAUUUUAAAAAAAUUUAAGAAUAAAUUAUUUUAAUAUAUAAAAUUAAAAUUAAUUAAAGAAAUUUAAUAUUAGAAAUUAAAUUUAUUAUUUAUUAAUAAAGUGCCAGCAGUAGCGGUUAAACUUUUAAUAAAAUUUAAUUAUAAAAAUAAAUUUAUUAGUAUUAAAAAUAAAAUUUUAUUAAUAUAAAUAUAAUUUAUAAAGGUUAAAUAUUAUAUUUUUUUUUAUUAUUAAAAAUUUAUAUUUAUUUAAUAAAAAAAAAAAAAUUAAGUAAAAAAUUAGGAUUAGAUACCCUAUUAUUUAUUAUUAAAAUUAACUAUUUAAUUAUUAAAUGAAAAAUUCAUUAAAUUUAAAAAAUCUGACGGUAUUUAAAUUAAUUAGAGGAACUUGUUAUUUAAUUGAUAGUCCACGAUAAGAAAAACUUUAUUAUAUAAAAUUUAUUUAUGUAUGAUCGUAAAAAUAAUUAUUAAAAUUUUUUUUUAAUUAUUUUAAAUUUAAAAUUUUAUAAAAUAAUUUCAGAUCAAUAUAUAGUUUUAAAUUAAAGGUUUAAAUGAGUUACAAAUUUUUAUAAAAAAAUUAUAUUUUUUUAAUAAAAGAUUAAAAUAGGAUUUAUAUGUAAAUUUAAUAAAUUAAUUAAAUUGAUUUUAAUUUAAAAAUAUGUACAUAUUGCCCGUCACUUUCUUAUAAAAGAAAAAAGUCGUAACAAAGUAAAAGUAUUGGAAAAUGUUUUUAGAAGAAU